UUCUUUUCUCGGUCUUUUGGCUAAGAUCAGAUGUGGUAUCUGUUCUUGUUAGUUUAAUAUUUUCAGUAUUUUAAGUAUUUUUGAAGUAUUUCGUGAUAUUAUCGGUAAUUUCGUGAUAUUAUCGGUAAUAUCGCGAUAUUUUGACGAAAACUUCUUGGAUACCUAUUAAAAUAUCGGUAAAGCAAAAAACCGAUA
Malus domestica (apple) is the source of this 195-nucleotide small nuclear RNA. RefSeq annotates it as U2 spliceosomal RNA. NCBI's taxonomy places the organism in Eukaryota, Viridiplantae, Streptophyta, Magnoliopsida, Rosales, Rosaceae. The record is from RefSeq and is a predicted model, not a curated record.